Molecule: transfer RNA, 87 nt
Filed under: Bombardia bombarda
Lineage: Eukaryota; Fungi; Ascomycota; Sordariomycetes; Sordariales; Lasiosphaeriaceae
Rfam family: tRNA
About the family: Transfer RNA (tRNA) molecules are approximately 80 nucleotides in length. Their secondary structure includes four short double-helical elements and three loops (D, anti-codon, and T loops).
Source: Rfam by way of RNAcentral
GCCGGCGUGGCGCAAUUGGUUAGCGCGUCAGACUUUUACGAUAGAAAGAGUAUCUGAAUGUUGCGAGUUCGAGUCUCGCCGUUGGCG